UACGAAGGGGGCUAGCGUUGUUCGGAAUCACUGGGCGUAAAGCGCACGUAGGCGGAUUUGUAAGUCAGGGGUGAAAUCCCGGGGCUCAACCUCGGAACUGCCUUUGAUACUGCAAGUCUUGAGUUCGGGAGAGGUGAGUGGAAUUCCUAGUGUAGAGGUGAAAUUCGUAGACAUUAGGAAGAACACCAGUGGCGAAGGCGGCUCACUGGCCCGAUACUGACGCUGAGGUGCGAAAGCGUGGGGGGCAAACAGG
This 253-nucleotide ribosomal RNA is filed under the name uncultured bacterium. Its description in RNAcentral is "partial 16S ribosomal RNA". It matches the Rfam family "Bacterial small subunit ribosomal RNA", at positions 524 to 776 of the family's 1533-position model. The record is from RNAcentral.